GGUGGAGAAAGUUAUGGGCAAAACAACCAGCAAAGGUCAGAGUUGGUUGAAAUAUAUAAAGCUUCAACUUGAACGAAUAAACUGUACCUACUGAGAUGUUCAAAAAUUGCAAAUUAAUAGUCAUUGGAAAGAUUUUUGAGUCUAGUUUCUAAUAAAAAAAGAAUCACAUCAUUUGGAGGUCGGUGGGAAAAGUUAUCAUUAAAAUAACGAGCAAAGGUCAAAGUUGACACCAUGUUAACUUGGUCAUGACACCAACAUUAGGUCUUUCCUCCACCAUGGGUUGCCCAAACCAUACUUUUCAGACUCUAGUCACACUUAAACACCAAAAAGAAGUCUCAUCCAUUCAAGAAACAUGAAAAAAUUACGUAAAAUUUCUUUGGCUACUUAUGUGUCCAAAGUUGGCUCCUGCAGCACAAGUUUUUGUCCAAAACCAGAUUUUUGUUUGUGU
Molecule: long non-coding RNA, 448 nt
Filed under: Vigna radiata
Lineage: Eukaryota; Viridiplantae; Streptophyta; Magnoliopsida; Fabales; Fabaceae
Description: long non-coding RNA (VRAD_LNC011338)
Source: RNAcentral